AUGGAGGCGGAGAAGCAAACGAAGAAGCUCGAGAUGGAGACGGAGAAGCAAAGGAACAUGUUCGAGGUCGAGGCUACCAAUGCCAAGACCAAAACAAAAGAAGUGGUGCUCGCUUGCAUGAUGAAGGGCGUGGAGAUCAUGAAGGUGGACUUGAGCAUGAUGUCCCUGAGGAAGAGUCCUUGGUUCGAGAAGAUGCAGGCCGACAUGCUCAAGCUUGAGAGUAAAUUGCACAGAAGUACCACAAUUGGGGCAUUGGAAGCAGAUUGGUCUCGCUGGUGCGACCAAGCCAGACCCCGACCCCACUCUUCCCUCUUCCUUCUCCUCGCACCCUCGCCGGCGGCUGCCUCCCUGCCCGCCCCGCUGCCCGCCACACCACGCCACCAUAGCCAUGGAUCAAACUGCUUAGGCGUUGUCACCUCCCCCGCGGCUGCUCCUCCCUUGUGCCCUCCUCUCCCCCGCGGCUGCUGUGCCCUAGGCGAUGAUGGCCUCGACUACUCCGGCAGGCGUGGUGGCUACUCCAGCUCGGAGUACAGUAGCGAGGAUGAAGAUUUUGCGGAGCCGGCGUUGUCGAUGGAGCAGAGGCUGAAGAUGGCGCGAAUUUGGGUGGCCAACCCUAGCACCGCCCAUCACUGGACUCAUGGCUUCGGUGAAAUGUUUGAGCUAAAGCUCUGCAGUUCAGAUGUAACAUACCUGAAUAUGAUUGCAGUGAUGGAAACCCAAGGAUUUAGUGAAUAUGAUCUGCUGUUUCACAUUGAGAAUCCACAAUUAGGGGAGAAAGGAUUGGAGAUGGUAGAGUGUAAUGCUGAGUUGCAAUUAGUAAAGAAGCAGGUUGAGGAGUCUAAGGUCUUAAAUUUGCUAGUGAGGGCAUGUCCACCUCCUUGCAGCCAGUUUGAGAGGCAAGAAUUAUCCACUGUUGUGUAUGAAGAGCCGGUGUUAUAUGAUCUCAGUGAGCCACCCAUCUAUGCUGUUAAUGAAGAAGGAGUUGCAUUUGAAAGUCAGAGUAGCAGCUGCAGUGUAGCUCAUGGUACUGGUGUUUGCACACAAGAGAGCAAGAAUGUAAAAGGAAAACUGAAAGUUGUUUUGGAAAUAGAAGAAGAAGAGGGAUAUGAUGGCAGUGGUGGUUCUGAUUGUGAAGGUGAAGAGGACAGUGAUGUACCACCUUUUUAUAUGGGUGAUGCUGAUGACAUAGAGAUGGCUGAGGGAAAGAAACAGAAAGAGUAUGAUGAAAUGGAAGAGGAAGAAACAGAUGAUGAAGAAUCUGAGGAGGAAGAAGUGGUGCAUUAUGAGGGUGACACAGAGGUUGAGGAACCUUUUCAAAUGGAUGAAGAUGACAAAGUUGUUUCACGGGAUGAAGAAACUGUAAUUGUAUACGAAGAGAAGAAGAAGAAGAAACAGAAGCUUCCAGUUAGGAGAGCGCCUACAACAAGGUCACAUUCAAGUGUAGAGGCUGAUGAUGAUGGUUUUGAGCCAUUGUCAUUUGUGCUGCCAAAGAAAAGGAAGAGCAGAGCAAAGCAGAGGCCUCCUAGAAAAUGUACAGAGACAACAAGGGUAAGUGCCAAGUGGCUUGCACAGAAGUAUGAGUCACUGUUCAGAUAUGAUCUAACAACUGGCAUUCAGACUUUGAUUGAUGCUUGCAUGGAGAAGUAUGGUGUGGAUGUGCCCAAGUCAAUGGCAUAUAGAGCAAAGAACAUAGCUAUUGAUGUUGUGCUAGGAGACCACAAGAAGCAAUACCCUAGGUUGAAAGACUAUGCUCACACAGUGAUGGAUACAAACCCUGGGAGUAGAGUAGUAGUUACUACUGUAACUCCAACACCCACCGAAAAAAUCCCCCAUCCAGGUCCAAGAUUCCAUGUUAUGUUCUAUUUUGCAUCAAUGGAGCAAGGGAGGGGUUUCUCAAGGGGUGCAGACCAUUCAUUGGGCCUACUAAAUGCAGUGAAUGUUGUCUUUCCUAAGUGCAACCAAAGGUUCUGCCUUAGGCAUAUCUAUGCAAACUUCCAAAAUGCUGGGUUUAGGGGGGAAGAUCUGAAGAAGUGUAUGGAUAAUGCUGCCUAUGCAUAUAGUGAACACAAAUUUAACAUUGCAAUGAAUGACCUUAGAGCUGAAUGUCAGGAAGCUUGGGAGUGGCUUUGUCAAAUACCCAAGAAAACAUGGGCAAGGCAUGCAUUUGACACAAACUGCAAGACUGACCUUGUAGUUAACAAUUUGUCUGAGGUGUUCAACAAGUAUGUCCUAGAUGUUAGGAAGAAACCAAUUAGAACAAUGUGUGAUGGAAUAAAGGAUAAGCAGAUGAUGAGGUGGCAUAGGAAUAGGGAGAGUACAAAGACAGCUAGAUGGGACAUAACACCCCAUUAUAGUGAGAAGCUAGAGGCUGAGAAGGAGAGGGCCAAAUAUUGCAAACCAAUUCAAGUUGGUGUGAACUUGUGGCAGGUUACAAGUGGGCAGCAAACCCAUGUUGUUAACUUGCAAGUGCACACAUGUGGGUGCAGAAAAUGGGACCUCAGUGGCAUCCCAUGUAACCAUGCCAUCUCAGCAAUCAACAAGGGCAAAAGAAAACCAGAGGAUUAUGUCAGCAAGUUCUUCAAGAAAGAAUUUUAUGUGGCAGCUUAUGAACCAAUGAUCUAUCCAGUUCCUGGUGAGCAUGACUGGACAAAGACCCCUAGUCCAGACAUUGACCCACCUGCAUUUAAAGUGAAGAGAGGAAGAAAGAAAGAGAAGAGGAUCGAGGGGAAAUUUGAAGUUCCAAAGCCUAAGGACACAUCAAGAAUGGGGACUAUAACAUGUGGCAAUUGUGGACUGCAAGGACAUAGGUACACAAGCUGCCUCAAGCAGUUGAAGCCUGAGCUGGCUUUGAGGAAGAACAAACAUGUGCCUCUUGCAAGGAAUUCCAAUGGUGGUGCUGCUGCUACUACACCAGCAGCAAGAACCUCUCAUGCAGCUCCUACAACAACACCAAUAGCUGGAACAGGAGGUGCUGGGAGAGGAGCUGGGAGAGUAGCUGGGAGAGGUGCUGCAGCUGCAGGUGCUGGGAGAGGUACUGGGAGAGGUAUUGCAGCUGUAGCAGCUCCAGCUUCUAGGAGAGGUGCUGCAGCAGCUCCAGCUGCUGGAAGAGGUGCUGGGAGAGGUGCUGGGAGAGGUGUUGCACCAGGUGCUGCAAGAGGUGCUGGGAAAGGGAGAGGUGCAUUCUCUGAUCCAAGACAAUCUGGUCCCUCCACAUCUACUGCUCCCUCCACAUCUGCUGCUGGGAGAGGUGCUGGUGGUAGACAUAGUGGAUGUGGGAGGUACUUCUAUGCAAGUGUACCACCUAAAGCCAUCAUUUUGGGUUUUGGUGGUUCGGGGUCGACGGAACCACCUAAAGCCAUCAUUUUGGGUUUUGGUGACUCGGAGUCGACGGAACCACCUAAAGCCAUCAUUUUGGGUCUAGGGUGGCUCGGGGUCGACGAAACCACCUAA
RNAcentral lists this ribosomal RNA (3450 nucleotides) under Triticum aestivum (bread wheat). Its description in RNAcentral is "partial small subunit ribosomal RNA". Lineage: Eukaryota; Viridiplantae; Streptophyta; Magnoliopsida; Poales; Poaceae. The record is from RNAcentral.